GACGAACGCUGGCGGCGUGCUUAACACAUGCCAGUCGAACGGAAAGGCCCUGCUUUUGUGGGGUGCUCGAGUGGCGAACGGGUGAGUAACACGUGAGUAACAUGUCCUUGACUUUGGGAUAACUUCAGGAAACUGGGGCUCAUACCGGAUAGGAGCUCCUGAUGCAUGGUGGGGGUUGGAAAGUUCCGGCGGUUGGGGAUGGACUCGCGGCUUAUCAGCUUGUUGGUGGGGUAGUGGCUUACCAAGGCUUUGACGGGUAGCCGGCCUGGGAGGGUGGCCGGCCACAUUGGGACUGAGAGACGGCGCAGUCUCCUACGGGAGGCAGCAGUGGGGAAUAUUGCACAAUGGGCGGAAGCCUGAUGCAGCAACGCCGCGUGCGGGAUGACGGCCUUCGGGUUGUAAACCGCUUUCGCCUGUGACGAAGCGUGAGUGACGGUAAUGGGUAAAGAAGCACCGGCUAACUACGUG
RNAcentral lists this ribosomal RNA (468 nucleotides) under uncultured bacterium. Its description in RNAcentral is "partial 16S ribosomal RNA". It matches the Rfam family "Bacterial small subunit ribosomal RNA", at positions 28 to 507 of the family's 1533-position model. The record is from RNAcentral.